CCUACGGGUGGCAGCAGUGAGGAAUAUUGGUCAAUGGACGAGAGUCUGAACCAGCCAAGCAGCGUGAAGGAUUACUGCCCUAUGGGUUGUAAACUUCUUUUAUAUGGGAAUAAAAUGUUCCACGUGUGGGAUUUUGUAUGUACCAUAUGAAUAAGGAUCGGCCAACUCCGUUCCAGCAGCCGCGGUAAUACGGAGGAUCCGAGCGUUAUCCGGAUUUAUUGGGUUUAAAGGGAGCGUAGGUGGAUUGUUAAGUCAGUUGUGAAAGUUUGGGGCUCAACUGUAAAAUUGCAGUUGAAACUGGCAGUCUUGAGUACAGUAGAGGUGGGCGGAAUUCGUGGUGUAGCGGUGAAAUGCGUAGAUAUCACGAAGAACCCCGGUGGCGAAGGCAGCCUGCCGGAGCGUUACUGACGCUGAGGCUCGAAAGCGCGGGUAGCGAACAGGAUUAGAUACCCGAGUAGUC
Molecule: ribosomal RNA, 460 nt
Filed under: uncultured bacterium
Lineage: Bacteria
Description: partial 16S ribosomal RNA
Rfam family: Bacterial small subunit ribosomal RNA
Source: RNAcentral